UACAGCCAUGCCAUGUUGAAACCCCGGUUCCCGUACAAUCAUCCAAGUUAAGCAACGUCAAGCCUAUUCAGUACAAAGUUGGGUGAUCGCUUCGGAAUAGCAGGUAC
Non-coding RNA from Acanthosepion pharaonis, 107 nucleotides. Lineage: Eukaryota; Metazoa; Mollusca; Cephalopoda; Sepiida; Sepiidae. The record is from the annotation of a GenBank genome assembly.